RNAcentral lists this ribosomal RNA (403 nucleotides) under Verrucomicrobiota bacterium. Its description in RNAcentral is "Verrucomicrobia bacterium partial 16S ribosomal RNA". It matches the Rfam family "Bacterial small subunit ribosomal RNA", at positions 355 to 776 of the family's 1533-position model. Lineage: Bacteria; Pseudomonadati; Verrucomicrobiota. The record is from RNAcentral.
UGGGGAAUAUUGCACAAUGGGGGAAACCCUGAUGCAGCGACGCCGCGUGAGCGAAGAAGGUUUUCGAAUCGUAAAGCUCUGUCCUAUGAGAAGAUAAUGACGGUAUCAUAGGAGGAAGCCCCGGCUAAAUACGUGCCAGCAGCCGCGGUAAUACGUAUGGGGCGAGCGUUGUCCGGAAUUAUUGGGCGUAAAGGGUACGUAGGCGGUCUAUUAAGUCAGGUGUGAAAGCGUGAGGCUUAACCUCAUUAAGCACUUGAAACUGAUAGACUUGAGUGAAGGAGAGGAAAGUGGAAUUCCUAGUGUAGCGGUGAAAUGCGUAGAUAUUAGGAGGAAUACCGGUGGCGAAGGCGACUUUCUGGACUUUUACUGACGCUCAGGUACGAAAGCGUGGGGAGCGAACAGG